This 1233-nucleotide ribosomal RNA is filed under the name metagenome. RNAcentral's name for it is "bacterial SSU rRNA". It matches the Rfam family "Archaeal small subunit ribosomal RNA", at positions 207 to 1445 of the family's 1478-position model. The record is from RNAcentral.
GGAUAGGAUCGUGGUCGAUUAUGGUAGUUGGUGAGAUAACGGCUCACCAAGCCGAUAAUCGAUAGGGGCCGUGAGAGCGGGAGCCCCAAGAUGGGUACUGAGACAGCGACCCAGGCCUUACGAGGCGCAGCAGGCGCGAGACCUCCGCAAUACACGAAAGUGUGACGGGGUUACCCAAAGUGUUCUCUUAAGAACUGUGGCAGGUGAGUAAUGUCCCCUGCUAGAAAGGAGAGGGCAAGGCUGGUGCCAGCCGCCGCGGUAAAACCAGCUCUUCAAGUGGUCGGGAUAAUUAUUGGGCUUAAAGUGUCCGUAGCCGGUUUAGUAAGUUCCUGGUAAAAUCGGGUAGCUUAACUAUCUGCAUGCUAGGAAUACUGCUAUACUAGAGGGCGGGAGAGGUCUGAGGUACUACAGGGGUAGGGGUGAAAUCUUAUAAUCCUUGUAGGACCACCAGUGGCGAAGGCGUCAGACUGGAACGCGCCUGACGGUGAGGGACGAAAGCCAGGGGAGCGAACCGGAUUAGAUACCCGGGUAGUCCUGGCCGUAAACGAUGCAUACUAGGUGAUGGUACGGCCAUGAGCCGUAUCAGUGCCGUAGGGAAACCGUUAAGUGUGCCGCCUGGGAAGUACGGUCGCAAGGCUAAAACUUAAAGGAAUUGGCGGGGGAGCACCACAAGGGGUGAAGCCUGCGGUUCAAUUGGACUCAACGCCGGGAAACUUACCAGGGGAGACAGCAGAAUGAGGGUCAGGUUGACGACCUUACCUGAUGAGCUGAGAGGAGGUGCAUGGCCGUCGCCAGUUCGUGCUGUGAGGUAUCCUGUUAAGUCAGGCAACGAACGAGAUCCGCACCUUUAUUUGCCAACAAGAAGUUACGACUUCGUUGGGAACACUAAAGGGACCGCCGUCGAUAAGACGGAGGAAGGAGCGGGCAAAGGCAGGUCAGUAUGCCCCGAAACCCCUGGGCCACACGCGGGCUGCAAUGGUAUGAACAAUGGGCUGUAACUCCGAAAGGAGAAACCAAUCCCGAAAUCAUAUCACAGUGGGGAUUGUUGGCUGUAACCCGCCGACAUGAACGUGGAAUCCCUAGUAAUCGCGUGUCAUCAUCGCACGGUGAAUACGUCUCUGCUCCUUGCACACACCGCCCGUCGCUCCAUCCGAGUGUACUAAAAAUGAGGUUUGGUCAGACUGGUCAUAUCGAGUUUCUAGUAUGCGAGGAGGGAGAAGUCUUAACAAGGUA